AGGGGCAAAAUUUCCUAUAAAAUGGACAGCUCCUGAAGCUGCACUGUAUGGCAAGUUUUCCAUCAAGUCAGAUGUUUGGUCUUAUGGAAUUCUUCUGUAUGAACUUGUUACACAUGGCCAAGUUCCUUAUCCAGGUAUGCAAAAUCGAGAAGUUAUUCAAGAAGUUGAAAGAGGUUACAGGAUGCCUAAGCCUACAAACUUCGAAUGUCCUGACACUGUGUAUAGUGUCAUGCUACAGUGUUGGGAUGGUGAGCCAGACAGAAGGCCAACCUUUGAGUUUCUCUUUGGAUACUUUGAUGAUUACUUUGUAUCAACUGAGCCCAGUUACAGAGAUGCUGAAGAAUUUUAACUAAGAAGACUUUAAGGCAUUAGUCAGCAUUUGUUUUCUACACAUCCUUAAAGCAGGUUAAAUAGUACCUGCAAGACAUUGAAAAACUUUGGAAUAGAUAGUUGAAAUUUUGAUUUGUGCAUCGAAGGCAUUGGUGCAAUCCAAUAUUUUUGUCAACGAGAAAACAGUAAUCUGUAGUCUGCCAUAAUGCAUCUUUCCGUCUUUCAGUGGGGGGGAAAAAAGUGGAUUGAACCUCAUAUGAAACAAGGAGGCCUUUCUGACGCUCAAUACUUUGUAAGAAGAAUAUAUAUAUAUAGUUUUUAAAUUAAGGCAGAUUUUUAUAGUAUGGGUCCCUUACCAUAUAUUUGGCACUGCUCAAGACAGUGUUCAUUGUAAUAUGGUCUGUUUGAACAUUGAGUUUUAUCAUGUCAUCAACUACAUAUGUAAUUAUUUCAGACUCAAACUAUGCCAAGGAUAAAACCCAAGGGUGAACCCCUUUAGCUCUGGGGCUUCCAUCAAGCCCAGCCUAUCAUUUGUCAAGGAAGAUAAUCCCAGGCCUUAAAGGAAAACAAAUGAAAAUAUUUAAUUGUAAGAUAAAUCUAAUCGUAAUGUAUGAAAUUCUUAUAUAUAUAUCACACACACACACACAUACAAAUGUAUUGGAACUCUUUGGUCUAACCAUCUGUGAAGAAUUAUGUGGGACUAUAAGUGAUAUUUCCAGAACAGUAUCAUUGUUUUUAAUUAAGUAAUGUUUAUUUGACCAUUUAAUACAUCCAUGUGGGUGUAUUUUAAUUCAAAAUCUUGAAUAGCAUCUGUUGUUCUUGUUUUUACUCCUAAUUAUGUUUUUUUCUAAUCCAAGGCUGAUGAUAUUUACAGAUUAUGAAAGAAAUGUUGGAUUUUGAAUUCUGUUAAUAAAUUGUUUUAUAACAGUUGUUCUGAUGUCACAUCUUCAUCUUAGGAUUUAAAUUAUAAAGUAAAAUAGCUUAUUUGUUAAACUAUUCAUUACUAAACUAAAGUUAACUAAAUAUUUUGCGAUAAUACACUAUGGAAAAAUAAACACACUCCCUAUUUAUUUGUAAAGCAUUUUGGUAUUAGACAUUUGUGUGAAAACGAGUUUACACAAAUAAUAGUUAGCAUACUUGCAAGAUAUUGGGCAUAAAGGUUUCAUCAGAAUUAUGAAAUGUGUGUAGUUUUUGAUAGUUGUAAUACUUUUUAUAGCUGUUGUUAUCAGUACAUAGAUAUUCCCAGAUGUAAGAUAGAACUUAAUAAAUGAGUACGUUUAAGUUGUGAAAAUGUUUAAUAAGUUGUUGCCAGGUAAUGGAAUAUCCAUUUCAUAUCAUAAUUCUUUAGGGUUCUGCAAGUUGAUUUUUGUUCUUUGUGAAAAUGCAAGUAAAACAAGUGCUAUACCUCAGUUACAUUUUUAAAUGAAGUGCUUAAAUGUUUUAAAAAAUAUUUAAGCUGGUUUGGAACUAUUAAGUGCCUUGAUGGUAUUUUAAUAGAGUUCAGACCUAACAGUAAGUUCAUGUUUUUGAAAUAAGCUUUCUGGUUAGUAAUGAAUCACAAUAUUAAUGUAUAACAUUAAUUUCACGAGUAAUUAUGUAAACAUGCAAAUGCAAGUUUUCUGAAAAACUGUUGCAUAAUAAGUGUUUGGGAGGUUGUAAACAUGCAAAUGCAAGUUUUCUUUAAAACUGUUGCAUAAUAGAUAUGUUUGGGAGGUUGGCAUCAAGUAGUUUAUGCUUAAACAUUGUUCCAGUACUUUUUGAGAUAGUUCUUUGUGUAAAGAAUAUUUCAAAUUGUUUAGGAUAUUUCUUCAAUUUAUGAUAAACUAGCAAACUUUUUGAAACAACUGUCUUAUUUUAUAUUAUAAAAGUUAAUAUUGCUAUGUUGAGCUGUUAGAAGCUCUUCUAAACAAUGUCUUUGAAAACCUUUGAACUAUUAAAAUAUUAUCUUUUUAAAUGAAAAAUGACCAAGAUUCUGUGAGGAAGGUUUAACAUAUGGGUAGAAUAUUUUUACCCACAUAAACUUAUGUCAUAUAAUAGACAUAUCUAGCAUAAAAAAAAUUAUUUUUAGAGAUGCACUUACAUGAAUUUUAUCACCAAGUGGAAAAUUCUUAGAAGUUUAAAUGAACAGUUUUAAAGAACCGAGUAGUUAAAAGAUGUAAAUUAUUUGAGCUAGAUUGUGAUGAUUUUUUUUGUGAAAAUUUAAUGACAUUCUCAAAUAGUUGAAAUAAUGCACUUACAUGAAUUUUAUCACAAUGUGGAAAAUUCUUAUAAGUUUAAGUGAACAGUUUUAAAGAACCUGAGUAGUUAAAAGAUGUAAAUUAUUUGAGCUAGAUUGUGAUGAUUUUUUUUUUGUGACAAUUUAAUGACAUUCUCAAAUAGUUGAAAUGGUAAUUAUUAAACAAUAGCUAAACUGUAUUUUUAUUAGCUUUGUACACAAUUUUUUUAGUGAAGUUGAUUUAUGUUGAAUAGUUGAAAAUAUGUAUGUACUCAACUUUCACUUGAAUGUUUGUAAUAGUGCAUUAAUUGAUAUAAAUCCUGUUAUAGAUUCAUUUCUAGUUACUUUGUAUAUGUCUAUUCCAUAUCAAAAGGUCUUUAAGAGGGAAGCACGCUAAGAAGAUUAUAAUCAUCAAAAAACAAAUGUCGACAAUGGAGCCAUUACUCAUGAUAAUGUAAUAUUUUCUGACUGGUGAAUUUCAAUAUAUAUAUAUAUAUAUAUUUGCUUCUUUAUUAAAUAAUUACAGCAAUCAAGUUAAGUAAAGCUGAUUCCUUGCAAUUGUGCAUAGUAGAUUUAAAAUGUUGAAUUACAUUCUCAUUGACCAAACAAAAGUUUUUAUAUAUGUAGAAAACUAAGUGUUAUUUGCUAGAUGCAGUUUUGUUUUACUACUUAUAUUAAUAAGUUGUUAAAAUGCCUUCUUAAAAUAAGUGUUUACAAGUACUAUUAGUUUCUGUUUAUUCAGCUGCAAACAUAAUUAACUGAGGCAGUUAAUAAAUUAACAAAGACAUGGGCAUAUAGAGUAUAUACUGGUUCAAUAGCUUCUUCUUGAUCAAAUAUCUCACAAAUGUAUACAGUGAAAGGAGGAAGAUUAAAAGCUUAAGAACCUCUUUCUGAGAGUUAUUAGAAUAAUAACUAUUUAUUUUCCUCUAGAAAAAUAGUUUGUUAAAACUGAAAUCAUACUUUGACUUAAAGAAUAUUUUAUACAUAUUGAAUAUUUAUUGUAAGGGUUUAACUGUUGUAUAGAGUUAUCGAAAGUACUUUUUUUCAGAAUUCAAUGACUUAACCAUUUUCAAGACUUUCUUUGAAAGUUUUGUUUACCAUUUACUCUGACCAAAAAUUAAAAUGAGCCAGUUUACCAAGCAAAGUAUUUUUUUUUUUUGCAUGGAAUCUUUAAGUUAACCAUGAAAUAGUUGCUUCUAAGUCCAAAACUAAAAUAACUGAAACUUUUAAUUCAUGUACUUCAGUCUUAGUUAUUACUUUAAUUGCUUAUAUAUGAAAGCUUCAUUUUCCAAAUGAUAUCUUUUUCUACUUACAACCAAAAAAUUAUGGAACUAAAACAUGACAGAAAAUGACUAGUUGUACUUUAUUUAGAUAGUGGAGGACACUUCAUAUAAAUAUUUCAGUGCAAAGA
This 3956-nucleotide long non-coding RNA is filed under the name Limulus polyphemus (Atlantic horseshoe crab). RNAcentral's name for it is "uncharacterized LOC106460824". The record is from RNAcentral. Lineage: Eukaryota; Metazoa; Arthropoda; Merostomata; Xiphosura; Limulidae.